Molecule: microRNA precursor, 108 nt
Filed under: Pteropus vampyrus (large flying fox)
Lineage: Eukaryota; Metazoa; Chordata; Mammalia; Chiroptera; Pteropodidae
Description: miRNA (ENSPVAG00000024951.1)
Source: RNAcentral
CAAUUAAACACUUUGGCUGAUACUGGUGGUCUUUUUUCACUGAGCAGUCUGGUGCUUGAGCAUCUCUGGUAGCCAAACAGUCUAAGCUCCUUUUAGACAACAGAAUAU